GGAGAGAUGCCCGAGUUGGCCGAAGGGGCGCGACUGGAAAUCGCGUGUGGGACCACAAGUUCCACCGUGGGUUCGAAUCCCACUCUCUCCGCCA
Molecule: transfer RNA, 94 nt
Filed under: Bacillota bacterium
Lineage: Bacteria; Bacillati; Bacillota
Also listed under: 1 other name
Description: tRNA-Ser
Rfam family: tRNA
About the family: Transfer RNA (tRNA) molecules are approximately 80 nucleotides in length. Their secondary structure includes four short double-helical elements and three loops (D, anti-codon, and T loops).
Source: RNAcentral